RNAcentral lists this long non-coding RNA (7826 nucleotides) under Lactuca sativa (garden lettuce). RNAcentral's name for it is "long non-coding RNA (LSAT_LNC008141)". The record is from RNAcentral. Lineage: Eukaryota; Viridiplantae; Streptophyta; Magnoliopsida; Asterales; Asteraceae.
CCACCUGGUCGCGUACGCUGGGCGUACCUUAAGGUACGCUGCGCGUACGCUCAGCCUCCCCGCGUUUCAUUUAAGCAGUACGCCCAGCGUACAAGGGGGUUACGCCCCGCGUACGGCUUAUGGGCUGCUUACUCUUCGGCCCAAAAUAAAGGUCCACUCACAAUAUUAAUUCAGUUAUGGCCCAAACUAAACUGAAGAAUUAAAUAACUUUUAUACCUCGGAAACGAUCGUUACAAAUCUCUCCCACUUGAAUCAGACUUCGUCCUCGAAGUCUGCUGCCACUGAAUCUGAAAAUAACUUUGGGUAAUGCUCCUGCAUCUCCUCCUCUAAUUCCCACGUCCACUCUGAACCCUUCCGGUGUUGCCACUACACCUUCACUAGCUGAAUUACCUUGUUCCUCAAGGUCUUUGUCUUCCGGUCCAGAAUCGCGACCGGCCUCUCAACAUAAUUCAAGAUGCUAUCAACCUGAAUGUCCUCUAAGGGAACAACUGCUGACUCAUCCACCAAACACUUCCUCAACUGGGAAACAUGGAAAGUGUUGUGGAUCUGGCUAAGCUCUGCCAGAAGAUCCAACCGGUAAGCAACCCGACCUACCCAGGCCAGAACCCUAAAAGGACCAAUGAACCUGGGGCCCAGCUUGCCCCUCUUCCGAAAUCUGAUGACACCCUUCCUAGGUGAUACCUUCAGGAGGACCAUGUCGCCUUCCUGAAACUCCAAGUCUGAUCGCCUCCUGUCGGUGUAACUCUUCUGCCGACUCUGCUCAGUCUGCAGCCUACUGCGUACCUGCUGGAUCAACUCUGUCGUCUUGAGCACCACUUCGGUGCUCCCAAUGACACGCUGACUGACCUCGCCCCAACAAAUCGGGGUCCUACACUUCCUCCCAUAUAGCAUCUUGAAGGGAGGUCGGUUAAUACUCAAAUGGUAACUGUUGUUAUACGAAAAUUCAGCUAACGGAAGAUACAUAUCCCAACUGCCACCGAAAUCUAGGAAACAUGCCCGAAGCAUGUCCUCCAGGGUCUGAAUCGUCCUCUCACUCUGUCCGUCCGUCUGGGGGUGGAAAGCGGUGCUGAAAUGGAGACGAGUGCCCAUCUCGUCAUGAAACCGCUUCCAAAAUCUGGAAGUAAAACAGACAUCUCGGUCUGACACCACAGAAACAGGCACUCCAUGCCGUGCCACAACCUCUCGCACAUAAAUAUCGGCUAGUUUCUCCGCUGAUAUACUCUCCUGGAUCGGUAUAAAAUGAGCAUUGUUCGUCCACCGAUCCACAAUAACCCAAAUCGAAUCCACCCCACGUGCGGUCCUAGGGAGCUUAGUGAUGAAAUCCAUGGUGAUAUCCUCUCAUUUCCACACUGGAAUGUCUAACGACUGCAACUUUCCGUGGGGCCUCUGGUGCUCUGCCUUGACUUUCCUGCAGGUCAGGCACCUCUCCACAUACCAAGCAACAUCCCACUUCAUGCAGGGCCACCAAUAAUCGGGUCGAAGAUCCCUAUACAUCUUCGUCGCCCCUGGAUGGAUGGAAAAUCGAGACUUAUGAGCAUCGUCCAUCAACACCUGCCGUACUCCGCCCCAGUACGGUACCCAUACUCUCCCAUGAAGAGUCAACAAUCCUCGAUUAUUGUAUUCAAAAGAAGCUACUCGACCCACAAUCCUCUCACACUUCUAUCUCUCCUCCUUGAGGCCCUCGGCCUGCGCCUCUUUGAUUUGCUCCAACAAUGGAGUAAUCACUGUCAUCCUCAAACAAAUAUCUCUGAUCGGGGCCGCUGCCGCCUUACGGCUCAGGGCGUCGGCCACUACAUGGGCCUUUCCUGGGUGAUAUAAGAUCUCACAGUCGUAAUCCUUCAACUCAUCUAACCAUCGCCUCUGCCUCAUGUUCAGAUUCAGCUGAUCCAUGCGGUACCUCAAGCUCUUGUGAUCCGUGUAAAUGGUACAACGGACCCCGUAGAGGUAAUGUCUCCNCCCCACUGCCCCAACUCUAAAUCAUGCGUAUGAUAAUUAGCCUCAUGAGGCUUUAACUGUCUCGAGGCGUAAGCUAUCACACGGCCUCACUGCAUCAACACUGCUCCCAUACCUGUGAUCGAAGCAUCAUAAUAAACCACAAAAUCCUCUACUCCCUCUCGCAGGGUAAGAAUCGAUGCCUCGCACAAUCUCUGCCUGAGGGUCUCAAAUGUUGCUUGCUGCUCAGGCCCCCAGCGAAACACCACCGACUUCUUAGUCAGUCGGGUGAGCGGUACUGCUAUCUUGGAGAAAUCCUGAAUGAACCUCCUGUAGUACCCUGCCAGACCUAGGAAGCUCCGAAUCUUAGAUGGAGACCUCGGGACCUCCCACUUCAUCAUGGCCUCUAUCUUGGCCGGAUCUACCAAAAUACCCUUCUGGUUGACGAGGUGUCCAAGGAACUGCACCUCGUGCAACCAUAACUCGCACUUGGAGAACUUCGCGAAAAGUCUCUCUUUCCUCAAAAUCUCUAGCACCUCCCUCAGGUGCUCCUCGUGCUGCUCCUGAGUCUUGGAAUAAACCAAGAUGUCAUCAAUGAAUACUAUCACCGAUCGAUCCAACAACGGCCUACAUAUGCGGUUCAUGAGGUCCAUGAACGCGACUGGGGCGUUGGUGAGCCCAAACGGCAUCACCACGAACUCAUAAUAACCGUACCGGGUCCUGAAAGCAGUUUUUUGCACAUCCUCAUCCCUGAAUCUCAUUUGAUGAUACGCGGAGCGUAAAUCGAUCUUGGAAAACCAAGACGCUCCCUACAGCUGAUCAAACAAAUCAUCUAUCCUUGGGAGUGGGUAAUAGUUCUUCACCGUUACCUUAUUCAACUCCCGAUAAUCAAUACACAUACGGUGCGACCCGUCCUUUUUCUUCACAAACAAAAUCAGUGCUCCCCAGUGCGAAUUGCUCGGCCUGAUAAAACCCUUGUCUAACAGCUCUUGCAGCUGCGUAGACAACUCUCCUGCAUCUCUGGGGGAGCCAACCGAUACGGUGCCUUGGCUAUCGGAGCCGUACCAGGGAUUAGGUCAAUCCCGAACUCGACCUGCCUCUCGGGAGGUAUUCCAGGAAAAUCCUCUGGAAACACAUCCGGGUAGUCUCGCACUACCGGAACAUCAUCAACUGUUGUCUUGCCCUUCUCCCGGGCAUCUAAAACAUAGGCAACAUAACCGACACAACCCUGCUUAAAAUAGCGUCUUGCUCUCGCCGCUGAACAUAGAAAUGGUCCGCACUGUGGCCUCUCGCCCUGAAUCACUAAAUCUCCCCUACUGGGAGUACGAACCCUCACCAACUGCAGCUCAUAAUCUAUCACCACCCCAUUGGGGCUCAGCCAAUCCAUGCCUACUAUGACCUUAUUCCCUCGCAAGGAAAUAGGGACCAAGUCCACCGGAAACUGCUCAUUGAAUAACUGUAGGGAACACCCUCUGUGCACCCUUGCAACCCUAACGGUCCUAUCAAUUGCUAUCUCAACCUCAAGUGGACAAUCUAGCUCCCCUAGAGCUCUGCUAAACCUCUUGCUAAGUGCAAGAGAGACGAAUGAUCGGGUAGCCCCCGAAUCAAACAAUACGGUAGCUGAUAUGCCGUUCACUGAGAACGACCCUAUACAAAACAUAUAACCAUAAGAAACAAUCAAUUAUAAAUGCAUAGGUACGGAGAAAAAAAAUACAUACCCGUCACCACGUCAGGAGUCGCUCGCGCCUCCUCUGCUGUCAACUGAAAAGCCCUACUCUUUGCCACUGGAGUCUCAACUCGGCCCUGACGGCCAUCUGUAAUCCUCAAAGUAGCAGGGGCAGGUGCUAACACCUUCCCUGCAGCAGCUAAACUCGGACACUGGGACUUUUUAUGACUCCCUGCUUUGCACGCCCUAUCGUGCAAUCUCCCACACUUGCCACACCUAGCAUGGCUCUGCUGACUCCUAGCUCUGUGAUCUGAACCCUUGGGCUUUUUGCCCAAACUCCCUGAACCUGGAGCCGCCUCCGGCUUCCUCUUUCUCUCCAUCUCAAGGUCAAUAUCUCUCUCUCUCUCUCUCUCUCUCUCUCAAGCCCUAGCAAUCAUGUCAUCCAGCGUCUUACAGCUGGACCGGCUCACGAACUGGCGGAUAUCACUCCGCAACAUCUCAUGAUAACGGGCUUUCUUCAUUUGCUCAUCAGCUGUGUACUGAGGAACAAGAAGAGCCCUCUCCCUGAACUUGGCGGUAAUCUCCGCCACUGUCUCUGUAGUCUGGGUAAGAUCCUGAAACUCUCUGGCUAACUGCUGCACCUCAAUGACCAAUGCGAACUCAGCUCUGAACCUGGUAGUGAAAUCAAUCCAGGUCAUAGCAUCCAAAGCUGUGUCAUCCCCAAUGGCAUGACCAACCUCCUCUCACUAAUUCCGUGCCCUGUCCUUCAGAAGACAGGACGCCAAUCUGACCUUGUCCCCCUUGGGACAUCUGCUAGUGCGGAAAGCGUUGGCAACAUGUGCCAACCAUCUAGUACUUGCUAUGGGGUCUCGCGCCCCGUGAUAAUCUGGAGCUCUGCAUGCCCAUAACUCCCUAAAAGUAAGUGUGCGCGACCCCAUCAUGGCCGCCAUCUCAGCACGAAAGGUGCUCAACCUCUCAUCCAUCAACUCUAAGAUACCCUCCUUGAUCGAACCGAAGAUCACAGGAGUCUGCUCAAGUAUGGUGUGAGUAAUCUCUGAAGAGAGAAACUUCUUAGUCUGCUCAUCCAACUGCCCGUCCUCCGGGCCUGGUCCUAAUCCCCCUCCGGCACCUGAACUGCCGACUGCUGGUAUAGGGCGUAAUACCACCAUUCUGAAACAUAUAAAAAAAGCAUCAGGAACACUGAUAUAUCUCGAGGGAUCACUACUACCACAAGCUUCUUGGUCUCAUCUCGGCUUUCCUUGAUUCGAGUACGGAUCCUUUGCUUUCAGUAGUACGGGCCCAUACUACCUUCCACAUCUAUCCGUACUUUCCUCAAGUACUGCCUCGACUCCACCAAGUCACUCCUACUACUACUGAUCUCUGCUACUCUCAUCCUAGGCUUGCCCUAGGGAAAUCUCUGACUCAACCCAACCAAUCCUCAGCUGAUGUAGGCCUCCUUGUAAUGCCAAUUAACCUUUACCUGAAUACCAUUACAUGUGGCGAGGCUCAAAUAAUCCUUCGAGUAAAAGACCCGUCCUCACAACAGUUACACUCAAACAAGAGCUGUGCAGCAGGGACAAAUCCAACACUCUGAGAUUAUUUAACCCUGAUCCCAUGUGACGUGAUGUAUUCACCUAAUGGCUAACUCCUAUUAUUCAGAGUCCCACAAAGCACAAAGCAAGCAGCAUUCGGACACAGGAAACUACUCGAGCAAUUCUAUCCUCAUAACGAGAAACUGUACUAGCAUGCAAUUUGUAAGCUCAUACUAUCAGGCAUAACCUAAACAGGCUAUCCUACUGCUGUCUACUCAAUACUAGCAUGCAAUUCUCAUAAAGCUGAAUCACAUAUAACAGGCACAUAAGGCAUCCUCCUAGAUCCUUAGCCCUAUUCUAGCAUGCUGUUCUACUGAAACUGAUAACUCAUAACAUAAACUCGUAUGGGUAAUUUGGGAGUACUUACUUGAGCUCGGCUGAUCGCAUGCACCACACCCCUUUUCUCUUUUCAAAGUCCUUUUCUUUCUAAAAAUUUCUUUUCACUUUUCUAAAACUCUUUUCUUUUGAAAACAUUUUACCACUUCCUUAGUUUGAGUUCAGACACACCCGAAAGUGUGUCCGAAUCCCUCAAACCGAGACUCUAAUACCAACUUGUAACAUCCAAAAAUACGACCCAAAUUUUUUUGUUUUAAAUAACAAUAAAAUCAUAUUCCAAUCGUCACAUCAUAAAACCAUGUGUCAAUUAUCUCAACCCAUAAUAAAAUGUCAUGAACAUUUGUGCCAAAUCAAACUAUGAAUCAAAACAAACUCCCAAGAAAAGACUGAAGUUGUGGUGUGUGCGAUGUCAUCAUCCCGAGCUCUUCCCUUUGCUUGCGGAAGUACUUGAAACCAAAACUGGAACUGUAAGCACGAAGCUUAGUGAGCUCCCCAAAACUACCACAUACCAUACAAUAACAUAUAAAGCAUCUACUGGGCCUUGCCCAUUGCAUCGGACCGAAGUCCGGAAACUAACCAGGGCCUUGCCCUCUACAUCGGACCGAAGUCCGGAAACUAACCAGGGCCUUGCCCUCUGCAUCGGACCGAAGUUCGGAAACUAACCAAGGCCUUGCUCUCUGCAUCGGACCGAAGUCUAGAAACUACAUCGGACCGAAGUCCGGAACUGAAUGGGACCUUGUCCCCUGCAUCGGACCGAAGUCCGGAACUGACCGAACGUAACAUAGCAUAAACAUAUCAACUAGCAUGAAAACAUAUAUUGCAUACUACAUCCGAACAGAGUCCGGAACACAUAACACAAAACGUGCUUGAAUCACAAAGACAUCAAGCACUCUAACUACUGCAUCAGACCGAAUUCCAGAACUACUGCUAACUAAACGGGCCGGCAUUGUGGCCGUAGACCCGUUCCUACUAGAAGGAAACUCACCUCGUGAUGCUGACUGCUGAACUCCUGAAUGAGAAAUCCCUGACUACUGCUCCAGCUGCUUCCCAGCUAUAAUGGGAAAUCAAUACUAAAUCAGAAUAGGGAUUCCUCUAUGGGUAAAAUGACCAUUUUACCCUACUAUGGUGUGAGACACAACAUGGCCCAAAACCUCAAUUCCUUCUAAGUCCAUCUAUGGCCCUACUAUAGGCCCACUAAUGGCCCAAUUUGCUAUAUUGGGCCUAGGACCCUUUUAUUGGGUCUUACCCAUGCCCAAUACUAAAUCCUUGGUCCUUAGCAACUGAAUUCUGAUGGGCCAUAAAGGCCCAAGGACCCUAAGCCUGAAACCCAGCCCACACCGAGGCCCAACACUCAAAGCCCAAACUGGUAGCGUACACGGGGGUGUACACCAAGGUACGCUGAGCGUACUGGCUUCUGGCUUGUACGCGGCGCGUACUUCCUUGUACGCAAAGCGUACAACUCUGUUAAGCUAACAUCCCAUUAAGUGCUUAAUAAUUCGAUCCAGAAGCUACAAAUCCAGAUCCUAAGCUUGUUCCAUGACUUAAGCCAUAAAGUUGCUUACUUGAUGGCUUACAAGUCUCAUAAAGGCUCAAACUUCCACAAAUAACAUUCUACUUCCAUAAAACCAACUAGAUCUCAUGCAUGGUUCCAUAUAAGCCACAAAGAUCGAAACUUUACUAUUAUGGGGAUACUUGAGCCUCAAGGAUAGCAAUCCCAAGCUCCAAAAACGAAGUUGCUAGAUAAAGUUCCUUCCUUUGGACCUAAAAGGUCCAAACUUCCAAAAACUCCUAGAUCUAAACUUACAAGAGGAAAGUUGGAAGCUUUAUACCUCUUUUGAAUGCCAAAAGAAAGGAUGAUCCUGGAUCUAUGAGCUCAAGGUGUUCAAGUUCUUCUUCUUCCACUUCUCUUCUUCUCCUUCUUCUCAAAAAUAAGCUCAAAGAUCAAACACACACAAACAAGGAGCAAAGGGGGACGAACUAGGGUUUCUCUGGAGUGAAUGAUAAGUGAGGAGUCCAAAUGGGAGGCUAUAAUGGGGUUUAAAUACGCCUCAACCCCUAAAAUUAGGGUUUGCCACCUGGUCGCGUAUGCUGGGCGUACCUUAAGGUACGCUGCACAUACGCUCAGCCUCCCCGCGUUUCAUUUAAGCAGUACGCCCAACGUACAAGGGGGUUACGCCCCACGUACGGCUUAUGGGCUGCUUACUCUUCGGCCCAAAAUAAAGGUCCACUCACAAUAUUAAUUCAGUUAUGGCCCAAACUAAACUGAAGAGUUAAAUAACUUUUAUACCUCGGAAACGAUC